Molecule: unclassified non-coding RNA, 350 nt
Filed under: uncultured fungus
Lineage: Eukaryota; Fungi
Description: partial contains 18S rRNA, ITS1, 5.8S rRNA, ITS2 and 28S rRNA
Rfam family: 5.8S ribosomal RNA (bases 252-350)
Source: RNAcentral
AAGGAUCAUUAUUGAAAUAAACCUGAUGGGUUGCUGCUGGCCCUCUAGGGAGCAUGUGCACACCUGUUAUCUUUAUAUCUCCACCUGUGCACCUUUUGUAGAUCUGGAUAUCUUUCUGAAUGCCUGGCAUUCAGGUUUGAGGAAUUGACUUUUGACUUUUCCUUACAUUUCCAGGCCUAUGUUUUCUUCAUAUACACCAUUUAUGUUAUAGAAUGUAAUUGAAAGGGCCUUUGUGCCUACAAACCUUAUACAACUUUCAGCAACGGAUCUCUUGGCUCUCGCAUCGAUGAAGAACGCAGCUGACAUGUAGCGAACUAUAAAAACUUUUAACAACGGAUCUCUUGGUUCUA